Molecule: transfer RNA, 69 nt
Filed under: Allobates gasconi
Lineage: Eukaryota; Metazoa; Chordata; Amphibia; Anura; Aromobatidae
Description: tRNA-Pro
Rfam family: tRNA
About the family: Transfer RNA (tRNA) molecules are approximately 80 nucleotides in length. Their secondary structure includes four short double-helical elements and three loops (D, anti-codon, and T loops). Further hydrogen bonds mediate the characteristic L-shaped molecular structure. tRNAs have two regions of fundamental functional importance: the anti-codon, which is responsible for specific mRNA codon recognition, and the 3' end, to which the tRNAs corresponding amino acid is attached (by aminoacyl-tRNA synthetases). tRNAs cope with the degeneracy of the genetic code in two manners: having more than one tRNA (with a specific anti-codon) for a particular amino acid; and 'wobble' base-pairing, i.e. permitting non-standard base-pairing at the 3rd anti-codon position.
Source: RNAcentral
CAAGACAUAAUUUAAGUAGAAUGCUAGCUUUGGGGGUUGGCUGUGGGAGUUAAAUUCUCUCUGUCUUGA